This is a non-coding RNA of Microcebus murinus (gray mouse lemur), 1928 nucleotides long. The record is from RefSeq and is a predicted model, not a curated record. NCBI's taxonomy places the organism in Eukaryota, Metazoa, Chordata, Mammalia, Primates, Cheirogaleidae.
CAGUGUCUGAGUCACGGUGGAGGCACCGCCCGAGACGGUGUGGCCUGAGCAGCACUGCCGGCAGCAGCUCUGCGUGGCGUGCUCGGGGUCCCUCCCUCAGCAGCAGGCAGCAAAGAAGGGUAUGAGGGUGUGACAGCAGUCUCCAAGGAGGAAAGGGCUAUGUGAGGUCUGUGCUAGAAAAGGAUUUUACAUUUCUCUUUGGCCUGGCUUGUCUUUUCCAGAUAGUGGCCUUUUUGAUUCAGACCUUCUCAAUAUGGUGGUUGGAUCAUGCUUCCAGUCUCGGGAGCUACACAUGAAGUCAUUCCGUUGGGAAACUGUUGCUAAAGCAGAAAGGUUCUGGGCGGCUGAUGUGGCAUCACGGUCUACAGUGUCUGCCAGCUGUGAGUGACAGCAGGCUAUCACGAUGGAAUAUGGCAGCAGCAGCAGCAGCAACUCCUGAUUUAAGGGCAAAAGAUAUAUAUUUGACUGCCACCUCUAUGCUGGGGAUACCUAAGUGAAGAAGAUGGAAGAGGCCCCGCCCCUGUGGAGUCUGCCGCCCAGCAGGAAACACAGACGCUAUGAAAGGAGACGUGAACCUGGCUGGGAGUUGGGAGACCCGGAUGUAGGUCCCGGCACUGAUCCCCGUGAACCAUAUGGAACUCUGGGCUUCAGUUUAUGUGCUGUAAAAUGAAUGCAUUGGGAUGGAUAACCUCUUCAGUAAUUGAUUGCUCACCUCAUACAUAAGGUCAUGCUGUGUUCCAGUCUGGCCUCGAACUCCUGGCCUCAAGCCGCCCUCCCGAGUGGCUGGGACUACAGGUGCCUGACACUGUGCCUGGCUCAAGUUCUUACGUGACUUAUCUCUUACUAUAUUUACUCUCUGUACCUUUUCCUCUUUCUUGACAUUCUAUCUUCCUGUGGUUGUCUUGAUGCUGUUCUGACUUUGCCUUCUCUGUCUUCCUGGACUUCUCUUUCUCUGUUCUUCACUUGAAACAGUUAUUUUCUUAUUUUGAAAUCUGUGCUCUUCCUUGACAAUCUCAUUCAUAUCCAUGAUUUUAAUUAUGUCUUGUGUGCUGAUAAUGCCUAAAUCACAGCACAUACAAAUCUUCAGGAAAGAAGCAAAGUAUAGACAAAGGAACACUAUCAACCACAAAUAUGUGUCCCUGCAGACUUCUCUGGGGAACUCCUAACUUAUAUCCACUCUCGCAGACACCCCCAGUAUGUUGUCCUGCAGGCCACUCAGCUUGCUGUGGCCCAGCCUGAACUCACGUCCCUCUGAGUUGGCUGCCCUUCCCUGCAUUAUCACAAUGUACACCACCUUUAACCCGACACAUCACAGUUUAUUCAAGUGACGAGUUUAAUUCAUUUGCCUCUCCACUUGAUGGUGAAACCUAAGAAAUAGAAAUAUGUCUUUUGUUUGUGUAUUCCUAAUGCCUACAACAGCAUGAGUCACAUGACAGUUAUGCAAUAAAUGAUUAUUGAAUGAUUGAAUGGUGGACAGAUGACAGCUGUAGGUUGAUAUUCUAUUAAUGUUAUCUCAGUCAGCCCAAUGGGAAGCACCCUUCUUUCCCAGUAACAAGCGUAAGUUCCGGGUGCAUGUUUCUUGGAACGUCUCUGGACAUGUACUGGCUGCUGGAUUAAUCACCACAGCCAGGGAGAUGCAAGACUCUUACUGUCCAGGCCUGAAUUUUGUCCUCAUUCUUAGAGCAAGGGAUGGGGUCAGUGCCACACAUGAUACAGAAACUGAGAAGAGGCAGGGAUGCCAAUAAAAGGAAAAGUGAUGAUUUAUUGCCAGAAGCCAGAGGGCAGGAUACUGGGCUGACAGAAAUGUCAGAUGUUCGUCAUAGGUGUGCACAAACACCCGCGAUACUAGGGAGGGCUGGGCCUGCUCCUGCCAUAUUGGCCGGGUGAGGCGGUUAGGGCUGCCUUCAGUCUCAACACUUCUCUUCGCA